CCUUGCAGACGAAGUGAGUGAUACCCUGCUUCCAAGAAAAGCCACUAAGCUUCAGCUACACACGACCGUACCGCAAACCGACACUGGUGCGCGAGAUGAGUAUUCUAAGGCGCUUGAGAGAACUCUGGAGAAGGAACUCGGCAAAUUGACACCGUAACUUCGGAAGAAGGUGUGCCUCUAGUAGGUGAUCCAUUGACUUGGUGAGCCCAAUGAGGCCGCAGAGAAUCGGUGGCUGCAACUGUUUAUUAAAAACACAGCACUCUGCAAAGACGAAAGUCGACGUAUAGGGUGUGACUCCUGCCCGGUGCUGGAAGAUUAAAUGAUGGGGUGCAAGCUCUUGACUGAAGUCCCAGUAAACGGCGGCCGUAACGAUAACGGUCCUAAGGUAGCGAAAUUCCUUGUCGGGUAAGUUCCGACCUGCACGAAUGGAGUAAUGAUGGCCACACUGUCUCCUCCAGAGACUCAGCGAAGUUGAAAUGUUUGUGAUGAUGCAAUCUCCCCGCGGAAAGACGGAAAGACCCCAUGAACCUUUACUGUAGCUUUACAUUGGACUUUGAACAGAUCUGUGUAGGAUAGGUGGGAGGCUUUGAAGUAGGGACGCUAGUUUCUAUGGAGCCAACGCUGAAAUACCACCCUGGUGUGUUUGAGGUUCUAACCUUGGUCCCUUGUCGGGAUUGGGGACAGUGUAUGGUGGGCAGUUUGACUGGGGCGGUCUCCUCCCAAAGUGUAACGGAGGAGUUCGAAGGUACGCUAAAUACGGUCGGAAAUCGUGUUGAUAGUGCAUUGGCAUAAGCGUGCUUGACUGCGAGACUGACAAGUCGAGCAGGUACGAAAGUAGGACAAAGUGAUCCGGUGGUUCUGUAUGGAAGGGCAUCGCUCAACGGAUAAAAGGUACUCUGGGGAAAACAGGCUGAUACCGCCCAAGAGUUCAUAUCGACGGCGGUGUUUGGCACCUCGAUGUCGGCUCAUCUCAUCCUGGGGCUGUAGCCGGUCCCAAGGGUAUGGCUGUUCGCCAUUUAAAGAGGUACGUGAGCUGGGUUUAAAACGUCGUGAGACAGUUUGGUCCCUAUCUUCCGUGGGCGCUGCAAGAUUGAGAGAGCCUGCUCCUAGUACGAGAGGACCGGAGUGGACGCACCUCUGGUGUAUCGGUUGUCACGCCAGUGGCAUCGCCGAGUAGCUAAGUGCGGAAGAGAUAACCGCUGAAAGCAUCUAAGCGGGGAACUCGUCUCAAGAUGAGUCUUGCCGGGGCCUAGAGCCCCCUGAAGGGUCGUUCGAGACCAGGACGUUGAUAGGCUGGGUGUGGAAGCGCGGUAACGCGUUAAGCUAACCAGUACUAAUUGCCCGUGAGGCUUGACC
RNAcentral lists this ribosomal RNA (1356 nucleotides) under metagenome. RNAcentral describes it as "bacterial LSU rRNA". It matches the Rfam family "Bacterial large subunit ribosomal RNA", at positions 1577 to 2925 of the family's 2925-position model. The record is from RNAcentral.